This is a long non-coding RNA of Corvus hawaiiensis (hawaiian crow), 885 nucleotides long. RefSeq lists it as uncharacterized. The transcript has 2 exons. NCBI's taxonomy places the organism in Eukaryota, Metazoa, Chordata, Aves, Passeriformes, Corvidae. The record is from RefSeq and is a predicted model, not a curated record.
UGGGAUUUGGAAAGGCUGUGCAGGCACUUGGAGAAGGGAAGGGAAGAGACAUGAAGGCUUCCUUGGACACAAACAGCUUUUGAGGAUGUCUGAGAUGGAGGUGAGUCCCAUGAGCCAGAUGCCCCCACUGUCCUUGCUGGAGAACAGAGCCCGUGGAGAUACAAGGGGAUGGUUCUGGUGAUCAGCAGAGGUGGCAAUUCCUCCCUGGAGCCCGUCGAUUUGGGAGUAGGCUCCUGUUCUAAAAUUGCUGUUUCCUGUGGAAAUAUUCUUCCUGCCUCCCAUGCUGCCAAGUGAUUGCAUUCCUGUGAACCUCUGCUGUAGCCAGUGGGUGAGGAAAUGUUUGAGUUGCCCCUUGAUCUUCUCACACUGGCUGUGAGAAGUGGCAGAGCAGCUUUGGCUGGGUGAGUGCUCUGUGUUAGCCCCUGACACCAGUGUUAGAUACACCUGCCACAUCUGUGGUUCUGCAAGAAACCUGCCCUAGCCGUGCUGCUGAGGUUCAGCUGUAUCAACACUGGGGUAAAAAGGAAAGUUAAACGAACCAAAAAACCUGAAACUCCUUCAUGGAUGGGCUGCAGCCCAGUUAGCUGGAGCUUUGUGGAAAAUGAGCUGUGCAGCAGAAAGCCAUGAGAUGAACUGUUGUGCUUUCAGGAUCGUGUUGCAGAAAGUCUUUAAGCAGACGAAGCUGAUCCAAUGGUGCCUUUCCAGGGAAGAGGUGCUCUCCAGCAUCCAUCAGAGCUUGCAGUCUCUAUCCCUUCUUCACACUGAGUUACUGGCCCUUUUUUUUUUAGUCCCCUUUUCUCCCACCACUACCCUGUACACACGAGGGUGAAAGCAUGGCUGGGCUUUAUUCAGCUGCUCUCAGCUGGUCCUGAGAAGCAUGAGAAA